Molecule: ribosomal RNA, 522 nt
Filed under: uncultured bacterium
Lineage: Bacteria
Description: bacterial SSU rRNA
Rfam family: Bacterial small subunit ribosomal RNA
Source: RNAcentral
CCAGAGAACUUUCCAGAGAUGGAUUGGUGCCUUCGGGGAACUCUGAGACAGGUGCUGCAUGGCUGUCGUCAGCUCGUGUUGUGAAAUGUUGGGUUAAGUCCCGCAACGAGCGCAACCCUUAUCCUUUGUUGCCAGCGGUCCGGCCGGGAACUCAAAGGAGACUGCCAGUGAUAAACUGGAGGAAGGUGGGGAUGACGUCAAGUCAUCAUGGCCCUUACGAGUAGGGCUACACACGUGCUACAAUGGCGCAUACAAAGAGAAGCGACCUCGCGAGAGCAAGCGGACCUCAUAAAGUGCGUCGUAGUCCGGAUUGGAGUCUGCAACUCGACUCCAUGAAGUCGGAAUCGCUAGUAAUCGUGGAUCAGAAUGCCACGGUGAAUACGUUCCCGGGCCUUGUACACACCGCCCGUCACACCAUGGGAGUGGGUUGCAAAAGAAGUAGGUAGCUUAACCUUCGGGAGGGCGCUUACCACUUUGUGAUUCAUGACUGGGGUGAAGUCGUAACAAGGUAGGCGUAGAUGA